CGAACCGGGGGAACUGAAACAUCUAAGUACCCCGAGGAAAAGAAAUCAACCGAGAUUCCCCCAGUAGCGGCGAGCGAACGGGGAGCAGCCCAGAGCCUGAAUCAGUAUGUGUGUUAGUGGAAGCGUCUGGAAAGGCGCGCGAUACAGGGUGACAGCCCCGUACACAAAAAUGCACAUGCUGUGAGCUCGAUGAGUAGGGCGGGACACGUGGUAUCCUGUCUGAAUAUGGGGGGACCAUCCUCCAAGGCUAAAUACUCCUGACUGACCGAUAGUGAACCAGUACCGUGAGGGAAAGGCGAAAAGAACCCCGGCGAGGGGAGUGAAAAAGAACCUGAAACCGUGUACGUACAAGCAGUGGGAGCACGCUUAGGCGUGUGACUGCGUACCUUUUGUAUAAUGGGUCAGCGACUUAUAUUCUGUAGCAAGGUUAACCGAAUAGGGGAGCCGAAGGGAAACCGAGUCUUAACUGGGCGUUAAGUUGCAGGGUAUAGACCCGAAACCCGGUGAUCUAGCCAUGGGCAGGUUGAAGGUUGGGUAACACUAACUGGAGGACCGAACCGACUAAUGUUGAAAAAUUAGCGGAUGACUUGUGGCUGGGGGUGAAAGGCCAAUCAAACCGGGAGAUAGCUGGUUCUCCCCGAAAGCUAUUUAGGUAGCGCCUCGUGAAUUCAUCUCCGGGGGUAGAGCACUGUUUCGGCAAGGGGGUCAUCCCGACUUACCAACCCGAUGCAAACUGCGAAUACCGGAGAAUGUUAUCACGGGAGACACACGGCGGGUGCUAACGUCCGUCGUGAAGAGGGAAACAACCCAGACCGCCAGCUAAGGUCCCAAAGUCAUGGUUAAGUGGGAAACGAUGUGGGAAGGCCCAGACAGCCAGGAUGUUGGCUUAGAAGCAGCCAUCAUUUAAAGAAAGCGUAAUAGCUCACUGGUCGAGUCGGCCUGCGCGGAAGAUGUAACGGGGCUAAACCAUGCACCGAAGCUGCGGCAGCGACGCUGAUGCGUUGUUGGGUAGGGGAGCGUUCUGUAAGCCUGCGAAGGUGUGCUGUGAGGCAUGCUGGAGGUAUCAGAAGUGCGAAUGCUGACAUAAGUAACGAUAAAGCGGGUGAAAAGCCCGCUCGCCGGAAGACCAAGGGUUCCUGUCCAACGUUAAUCGGGGCAGGGUGAGUCGACCCCUAAGGCGAGGCCGAAAGGCGUAGUCGAUGGGAAACAGGUUAAUAUUCCUGUACUUGGUGUUACUGCGAAGGGGGGACGGAGAAGGCUAUGUUGGCCGGGCGACGGUUGUCCCGGUUUAAGCGUGUAGGCUGGUUUUCCAGGCAAAUCCGGAAAAUCAAGGCUGAGGCGUGAUGACGAGGCACUGCGGUGCUGAAGCAACAAAUGCCCUGCUUCCAGGAAAAGCCUCUAAGCAUCAGGUAACAUCAAAUCGUACCCCAAACCGACACAGGUGGUCAGGUAGAGAAUACCAAGGCGCUUGAGAGAACUCGGGUGAAGGAACUAGGCAAAAUGGUGCCGUAACUUCGGGAGAAGGCACGCUGAUAUGUAGGUGAAGUCCCUCGCGGAUGGAGCUGAAAUCAGUCGAAGAUACCAGCUGGCUGCAACUGUUUAUUAAAAACACAGCACUGUGCAAACACGAAAGUGGACGUAUACGGUGUGA
Molecule: ribosomal RNA, 1651 nt
Filed under: Escherichia coli
Lineage: Bacteria; Pseudomonadati; Pseudomonadota; Gammaproteobacteria; Enterobacterales; Enterobacteriaceae
Description: partial 23S ribosomal RNA
Rfam family: Bacterial large subunit ribosomal RNA
Source: RNAcentral